Molecule: transfer RNA, 65 nt
Filed under: Farynala dextra
Lineage: Eukaryota; Metazoa; Arthropoda; Insecta; Hemiptera; Cicadellidae
Also listed under: 1 other name
Description: tRNA-Ile
Source: RNAcentral
UAUGAAAUGCCUGAGUAAAGGAUUAUUUUGAUAGAAUAAAUUAUGUAGAAACACUACUUUCAUUG